AUGGCGCGCGCGUUCGGCGUCGGCGCUGCGAUGCUCGUCGUCGUGUCGGCCUUCUUCGCGCCGGCGGUGACGGCGCAGACCGGCAGCUGCGACGACCCGCUGCCGACCGAGCUCGUCGGCAACUACUCCGGGAUGGCCUGCAGCCCCGUCUGGAACAACUUCGUGCUCCGGUACGCGCAGGACGGGGACAACGUGCUGCGGGUGGUGCUCUCCGCGAUGUACAGCUCCGGGUGGGUGGGGAUGGCGUUCUCCAAGGACGGCCUGAUGGUGGGCUCGAGCGCCAUGGUCGGGUGGGUCGGCAAGAAGGGGCAAGCCCACGUCAAGCAGUUUGCCCUUAACGGCAAGGCGCCCUCCAUGGUCGUCGCCGACAGGGGCUUCCUCGUCUCCAACGGCCACGCCCACACAGUCCUUGUCAAGCAGGCCAAGAUCUACCUCGCCUUCCAGCUCAACUUCGACUCGCAGCUCAAGAAGCAGCAGGUGCUCUUCGCCUUCGGCUCUGCCAUCCCUGUCAACGACCGCCUAGCCGAGCACCAGGGCAAGACGUCCAUGACCUUUGAUUUCACCACAGGCAGCUCUUCAGGCUCCUCCUUCCCGAGUGGCCUAAAAAGGACUCAUGGGGCACUCAACCUGUUCGCUUGGGGUGUCCUCCUGCCUAUCGGUGCCAUUAUCGCUCGGUACUGCAGGGGUUGGGACCCUCUGUGGUUCUACCUUCAUGGCGGCAUUCAGUUCGUCGGCUUCAUCCUCGGUCUGGCCGGCGUUGUGGCUGGAGUAUCACUGUACGGCAAGAUCCAAGCAGAUGUUCCAGCACAUAGAGGCCUUGGCAUAUUUGUGCUUGUGCUUGGUAUCCUCCAGAUUCUAGCGUUCUUCCUAAGGCCCAACAAAGACUCGAAGUACCGGAAAUACUGGAACUGGUAUCACCAUUGGGUAGGCAGGCUUGUGCUCUUCUUUGCAGCAGUUAACAUUGUCUUGGGGAUCAAAGUUGGAGGCGCGGGUAACUCGUGGAAGAUCGGCUAUGGUUUCAACCUGGCCAUCCUUCUCAUCACCAUUAUCACCCUGGAAGUCCUAGUGUGGACAAGGUGGAAAAACAACAGCGGUCCUACGACGACAUACUGA
This 1113-nucleotide ribosomal RNA is filed under the name Triticum aestivum (bread wheat). Its description in RNAcentral is "partial small subunit ribosomal RNA". Lineage: Eukaryota; Viridiplantae; Streptophyta; Magnoliopsida; Poales; Poaceae. The record is from RNAcentral.